This 500-nucleotide ribosomal RNA is filed under the name uncultured bacterium. RNAcentral describes it as "partial 16S ribosomal RNA". It matches the Rfam family "Bacterial small subunit ribosomal RNA", at positions 28 to 507 of the family's 1533-position model. The record is from RNAcentral.
GACGAACGCUGGCGGCGUGCUUAACACAUGCAAGUCGAACGGGUCUGCCCUGUUUUUUGCGGGGUGGGUCAGUGGCGAACGGGUGAGUAACACGUGAGUAACCUGCCCCUCACUUCUGGAUAACCGCUUGAAAGGGUGGCUAAUACGGGGUGUUCUGGCUGUGCCGCAUGGUGUGGCUGGGAAAGAUUCACUUUUGUGGUGUUUUGGUGGGGGAUGGGCUCGCGGCCUAUCAGCUUGUUGGUGGGGUGAUGGCCUGCCAAGGCUUUGACGGGUAGCCGGCCUGAGAGGGUGGGCGGUCACACUGGGACUGAGAUACAGCCCAGACUCCUGCGGGAGGCAGCAGUGGGGGGUAUUGCACAAUGGGCGGAAGCCUGAUGCAGCGACGUCGCGUGAGGGAUGGAGGCCUUCGGGUUGUGAACCUCUUUCGCCGGUGAAGAAGGUCCUGCUCUUUGUGGUGGGGUUGACGGUAGCCGGGUUAUGAAGCGCCGGCUAACUACGUG